RNAcentral lists this ribosomal RNA (491 nucleotides) under uncultured bacterium. RNAcentral's name for it is "partial 16S ribosomal RNA". It matches the Rfam family "Bacterial small subunit ribosomal RNA", at positions 29 to 506 of the family's 1533-position model. The record is from RNAcentral.
AGUGAACGCUGGCGGUAGGCCUAACACAUGCAAGUCGAACGGCAGCACAGUAAGAGCUUGCUCUUACGGGUGGCGAGUGGCGGACGGGUGAGGAAUACGUCGGAAUCUACUUUUUCGUGGGGGAUAACGUAGGGAAACUUACGCUAAUACCGCAUACGACCUACGGGUGAAAGCAGGGGAUCUUCGGACCUUGCGCGAUUGAAUGAGCCGAUGUCGGAUUAGUUAGUUGGAGGGGUAAAGGCACACCAAGGCGACGAUCCGUAGCGGGUCUGAGAGGAUGGUCACCAACACUGAAACUGAGAAACGGUCCAGACUCCAACGGGAGGCAGCAGUGGGGAAUAUUGGACAAUGGGCGCAAGCCUGAUCCAGCCAUACCGCGUGGGUGAAGAAGGCCUGCGAGUGGUAAAGCCCUAUUGUUGGGAAAGAAAAGCAGCAGGUUAAUACCCCGCUGUUCUGACGGUACCCAAAGAAUAAGCACCGGCUACCUUCGG